Molecule: non-coding RNA, 27 nt
Filed under: Cricetulus griseus (Chinese hamster)
Lineage: Eukaryota; Metazoa; Chordata; Mammalia; Rodentia; Cricetidae
Source: RNAcentral
CUUUUCUGUUUCAUCCAAACCAAGGGG